CGGGACACGUGGUAUCCUGUCUGAAUAUGGGGGGACCAUCCUCCAAGGCUAAAUACUCCUGACUGACCGAUAGUGAACCAGUACCGUGAGGGAAAGGCGAAAAGAACCCCGGCGAGGGGAGUGAAAAAGAACCUGAAACCGUGUACGUACAAGCAGUGGGAGCACGCUUAGGCGUGUGACUGCGUACCUUUUGUAUAAUGGGUCAGCGACUUAUAUUCUGUAGCAAGGUUAACCGAAUAGGGGAGCCGAAGGGAAACCGAGUCUUAACUGGGCGUUAAGUUGCAGGGUAUAGACCCGAAACCCGGUGAUCUAGCCAUGGGCAGGUUGAAGGUUGGGUAACACUAACUGGAGGACCGAACCGACUAAUGUUGAAAAAUUAGCGGAUGACUUGUGGCUGGGGGUGAAAGGCCAAUCAAACCGGGAGAUAGCUGGUUCUCCCCGAAAGCUAUUUAGGUAGCGCCUCGUGAAUUCAUCUCCGGGGGUAGAGCACUGUUUCGGCAAGGGGGUCAUCCCGACUUACCAACCCGAUGCAAACUGCGAAUACCGGAGAAUGUUAUCACGGGAGACACACGGCGGGUGCUAACGUCCGUCGUGAAGAGGGAAACAACCCAGACCGCCAGCUAAGGUCCCAAAGUCAUGGUUAAGUGGGAAACGAUGUGGGAAGGCCCAGACAGCCAGGAUGUUGGCUUAGAAGCAGCCAUCAUUUAAAGAAAGCGUAAUAGCUCACUGGUCGAGUCGGCCUGCGCGGAAGAUGUAACGGGGCUAAACCAUGCACCGAAGCUGCGGCAGCGACGCUUAUGCGUUGUUGGGUAGGGGAGCGUUCUGUAAGCCUGCGAAGGUGUGCUGUGAGGCAUGCUGGAGGUAUCAGAAGUGCGAAUGCUGACAUAAGUAACGAUAAAGCGGGUGAAAAGCCCGCUCGCCGGAAGACCAAGGGUUCCUGUCCAACGUUAAUCGGGGCAGGGUGAGUCGACCCCUAAGGCGAGGCCGAAAGGCGUAGUCGAUGGGAAACAGGUUAAUAUUCCUGUACUUGGUGUUACUGCGAAGGGGGGACGGAGAAGGCUAUGUUGGCCGGGCGACGGUUGUCCCGGUUUAAGCGUGUAGGCUGGUUUUCCAGGCAAAUCCGGAAAAUCAAGGCUGAGGCGUGAUGACGAGGCACUACGGUGCUGAAGCAACAAAUGCCCUGCUUCCAGGAAAAGCCUCUAAGCAUCAGGUAACAUCAAAUCGUACCCCAAACCGACACAGGUGGUCAGGUAGAGAAUACCAAGGCGCUUGAGAGAACUCGGGUGAAGGAACUAGGCAAAAUGGUGCCGUAACUUCGGGAGAAGGCACGCUGAUAUGUAGGUGAAGUCCCUCGCGGAUGGAGCUGAAAUCAGUCGAAGAUACCAGCUGGCUGCAACUGUUUAUUAAAAACA
RNAcentral lists this ribosomal RNA (1412 nucleotides) under Escherichia coli. RNAcentral describes it as "partial 23S ribosomal RNA". It matches the Rfam family "Bacterial large subunit ribosomal RNA", at positions 418 to 1815 of the family's 2925-position model. The record is from RNAcentral. Lineage: Bacteria; Pseudomonadati; Pseudomonadota; Gammaproteobacteria; Enterobacterales; Enterobacteriaceae.